Molecule: long non-coding RNA, 1435 nt
Filed under: Olea europaea subsp. europaea
Lineage: Eukaryota; Viridiplantae; Streptophyta; Magnoliopsida; Lamiales; Oleaceae
Source: RNAcentral
CUUGAAGUCAGCUUAUCCCCAUCCCAAAUCUCUCAACCUUAAGUGCCUCAACAAAAAGGAAGAUGGAAAUUCUUGGCUAAGCUCCAUUCCUAAAUCCCCCCGAAUGACUAUGAAAUUUAUCCAAGCUCACCCCAAACCCGAAGCCCCAAAUUUCCCAAUUCCCCUGAAACCCGAAACACCAAAUAAAUAAAAUCAAUUACCCAAACUCUAUACAGUUGUUGUCGACCACAAGAAGAGGCCAACCUACGUGUAAAAAAGUAGCACCCAUUUCAUUUUAUAUUUCGUGCAAGACUCGUUGGCGAGCACAUGGACGAAACAAUUGAAGGUAAAUGUGAAAAACCCUUUUUCAUUUCUGAACUCCAGAUAUAUGGUGUUGUGGGUUGUAUGAUUUUUUUAAAGCUCAAUGGUUUGUAAUCCCUAAUUAGUUUUGCAUUGGAGAAUUUAAUUGCAUACACGAUCAUUUUGGUGAAAUUUUGUUUCUCUGUUGGUUAGCUUAGUGUGGUUUAUUGUUUACAUUUCCUGAAAAUUGACUGGAUUGAAUGUGAUGAUUUUAAUAUAAUAUGGUUUUAAACAGUUGAACAUAGAAUGUUUCUUAAUCAGUUAUCAUUAUGAAUUACUCAACUUAAACUAUCACUCCAUUUGCACACAAUGAAACAGAGAGGUAGAUGAACGAGUAGGUAACGCAAUUUCAUUUAUUCAUACUUCUAAAUAUUUGUUAAAUUAUAUCAACUAAUAAAUGUGGUUUAUGUAAAAGGGUAAAAUGGUUGCAUAAAGAGGGAAGAGAGCUUGAUUAGCGAUAAAUGCUGUAGACGAUAAAUCUUUCCAAUUCGUGCCCCUAUGGUAAAGUGUGAAUCGCGGUCGGGAUGUAUUUGAUCUAGACCAGUAGCAACUGCCUGCAGUCGGUUGAUCAAGCAUCAUGUUCCAACCGAUAAUGUCAAUUUCGACGAAACAGUUGAAGAAUUACAGAAACGUUAGGGGCUGAAUCUACCAAUUUGAGGACAACAAAGGAGCGAGGACAACAAUUUGCUAAAUCUGCUAAAUUGAAAGAUGCAAAGCCACAGUAGUGUUGGGGAAAGUUAUGUAUAGUUCUUGGACAGUGGCGAUUAUGGGUAGCGUUUCAUGUAUUUUUGCACACAGACCAAAUCUAUUGGACAGUCAGGACAGAGGCUUUCCAAUUUAGUAUUUUUUUUGUACAGUCACGAUAGUGAUGUACAUUAAUGCUUGGUUUUGUUUUUUUGUUUUUUGUUUUUUUUGCACAGCCAUGGUAGUGUUAAGAUUUGGGGUCCAUCUCAAUAAACUCAACCUUAUUAAGAGGAGUGAUCCAAAAUCUAUUUAAAUUGGUCAAUAUUUCGGUAUUUAAUCGAUGUAGAAUUUAUUCCCUUAACAUGCCCCGCAAGAUGAUGACUCUUUUUUAGCAGACCAAUCUUGAAAUCCG